UCUUAUAUAUUUUUUCAGUGCCGGGAUAUUCAUAUUCCUAAAGCCACUAUUGUGUUUUCUCUAAGAAGCACUACAUGCCACCAGAAUUGUGCACUGAAAGAUAAUACAAACUGAGUGUCUUUAUGAGAAUCACUGUGUCCCCUGAGGCCCAGCAGUACCUGCUUCCCUGUAUGUGGAAGCAGCACCUCAUUCCCGCCAUCAGCUACCUCUCAUCACCCCACCUUCAUCAUCAUGCUCCAGGGUCACCCUGGCCAGCUCUUGUGCUGGGACAGGGGAUUACACCAUCUCUGUUCAAAGAGGGGGAAAUGUGCCUAUGCCUUAAGUCAAUGCACUCAGCAAGGAGAAGCACAUCUUAUUUAUCUUGUUACCUAUAGUUUACUUUGGGUGAUUGGAGGGGAAUGACUUAGUUAUGACUGGACAUCUUAAAAGCUGAUAGACAAGCCAAAUGGCUGGCAGAUGAUGUGGAUUUCAAAGAGCCCAGAAUGAACUCAUCACUGGCUUAGACAGUCCUGGAUGCCAUUUGGAAAGUAGUGGCCCUGCAAGCCUAAAUGAAGUAGUAUUUGUAGGCCUGGGUGGCAUUUGGAUUUUUCUUUUCCCUCAACAAGGUUUUACUUUUUCUUACUUUACAAGCAAGGGAAGUUUUGUGAUAGGAGAGAAAUAAAAGAUUUGAUAUUUUUUGAGAUGACACUCAAGCAUCAGGCUGAGAUUUGCACACAUGGGAUGUAAAAGCAAGCUGUGUGUUGCUUAGUCACUUACUUAGAAGUAGAUGGUGGGGGACAGCGGCGUGGGUCCUAGCCUGGCCAGUGAUGCUGCUGGCGUCCAGACCCCAGACUCACUCCAAGCACUCUUGUUCAAUAUCUCAUGCAGAAGAGUUGGGCUGGUCACUCUUAGGGGUGAGACCCCGUGAUUGGUUGGUUUGUAGCACUAAGGUCUAAAAAGGAAAACCAUAAAAGACAUCAGAUUACGCUGGAUCAGUAUAAUUAAUAUUCCAUAGGGCCAUGUUGCCAGAAUCUGUAUGUAUCAAUACAGGGUUUUUCCAAGCCAGGAAACGCCCUCCUUGGCUACUAGGAGCACCUAUCCCAUAUCAUUCAGAUAAACAAUGAUAGCUACAAAGUCAUUUGUGGCUAGAUAGGUUAAGACAGGUGAUUUUUUAAAGUAGACUGUCUUUGCAUUUUGCCAUCUGAAGUUCAUUAAUCUUUAGAUGACAAAAAAGCAAAAAGUUCCCAGAACGUUUUUGCUUAGAUUUUGUUCUAAUCACCACGUGAAGGAAUGAGAUUAGCACCACAAGUUUCAUGCCAAUAAAAGAGACUGGUGUGAUCCCACAUGCAAAAUUUAAUCCUAAGGGUAGUGAGAUCACAAACAGAAUAAAAAUAAGAGCAAUCAACCAUAUAAAUCAAGUACCUAUUGGGAACAGACAUAACAUUCAAUUUUUCAUUUAUGCUAAGUGACCACAGUAUACAAAGUAAUAAGCAGGAAAUUUGAUAUGGGUUAAAUUAUGCAUUUUGUUCAGAUUUUGGAAAUUGGUAUGCAUUAUAAGUUUCUCAAUGUACAUCUUUUUAUCCCAACACCCUCAAACUAGAAUAUUUGUCAGUGGUCAAGAGAAAAAAUUUUACCUGAAUUCUUGGGGGCCGGCGGGGAGCUUUUACAUUAAAAAUCUACUAACGCCUACUUUUUAAAAAAUGAGAUUCUUUCUAAUCUUUAUAUAUGACAUUUUCUAGACAAUCGCACCUUUGGGUAUAUUAAACAGCUGGUAUCAUAACAAAGAAUCCAAAUGAACCUUCAAUAUACUAGAAGUUCUAGUAGGUUAAUAUUGUUCAGAAGAUUUUUACAAAUUAAAAACUGAUUUCCAAAUAUG
This 1855-nucleotide long non-coding RNA is filed under the name Homo sapiens (human). RNAcentral's name for it is "non-protein coding lnc-PPP1R2B-7:1". Lineage: Eukaryota; Metazoa; Chordata; Mammalia; Primates; Hominidae. The record is from RNAcentral.